RNAcentral lists this long non-coding RNA (1368 nucleotides) under Homo sapiens (human). RNAcentral's name for it is "HSALNT0069333". The record is from RNAcentral. Lineage: Eukaryota; Metazoa; Chordata; Mammalia; Primates; Hominidae.
CAUUUAUAUUUAAUUUAUGGUUUUAAUUUUCUGGAAAGAGCCCAAAGGAGCCCACUGCCCAAUGGAGUGCAUGAUACAGGUUUGGUAAGCACAAGUUAAAAUAAAAUAAAAAUGCUUCAGUGCCUUCGGAUGUGUCUAAAACAACAGAAUUAAGAGACUCUAAAAACCAGGGUCAUAAUUAUCUUUCAGUUUAUCUUAAAUGGCAAAGUGUAAGGGAAGAAAGGUGAGUAAAGAAAGAAAUGGGAGGGGGCUUUAAAAUGACAGGAUAUAGCAUUAAGCAUGGUUGAACCAGACUUAAACGUUGGCCCUGCCAGCCUUCCUGAAAAUGGAACAUUAUAGCCUUGCAAAAUCUGGAUUUCACAGUGAGAAAAAAAUCAAACAUAACACUUCUCACUCUGAAUCACUUUACCCAAAAGAGGGUUUUGAAUUGAAACCCUCAUUACUGCCAAUAACUGAGUUUACCUAAAUAAUCUCUAGCACUUUGGAAAGAGGGUAAGGCCACUGCUGUUUGGCAGAUUUAAAAAAGGCAGGAGUUGUGUCCUAGAGAAACCUUUUCUUCCCUUGAACUUUUUCAGAAAAGCUUUCCUGCUUUGGGCCCUCAUCUCCAGAGGAAUCCAUUGUGCAAAAUGUAGAAUACGGACCUAUAGAAAUAUUGGCUUAUUAACAUGUAUUUUUCUUUGGCAUUGCCCAUGCAUGCGCUAAAUGCAGACUUUUCAUUUUUGGGAAGGGUAAGGUGAGCUAUUUAAAUUUACUUGAUUUCAGGAAAUAUCCACAGAGACAUCCUAGACCCUCAAGAACCUUGCAUCUGUGUUCAAACAGUUGAAUUUAAACAAACAGUUGUGGAAGCCGGAAGUUCAAAAUCAAGAUGUCAGCAGUGUGUGUCAGUUCCUUCUGGAGUCUCGAGGAAGGAUCCGUUUGCUGCAACUCCUGAAACCUGAAGUCUGUGACUCACCAGUUCUAAGCCCCAGAGUCCUGAUGGGGCACCUCAAGGAGACACUUCAGCCACCUAAGUCAGCUGGACCACCCCAUGACACAGUCAUGGAGGUUCCAGUCUGAAUUCAGAGUCAAUGAUAAGGGAGGCUUCCGUGGCAGAGUGAAAAGCACACACCUGAGAAAUGAAAAGAAAUGGCAAAGGUCACACGUCUCAGGAUGAAUUGCACUGUGUGUGACACCCUAGCUGAAAUCCUAUCCCACAGGACCAUCAGCCUGGAAUGCAGUUUGAAGAUAUGUGCAGAAGAAAUGCCCAAGCCGACCCCGGACCUACAGUGAGAAGCAGAACAGCCCAGAGAAGCUCAGCCUAGGGCAACAGAGACAGCCUAGUCAACCUACAGAUCUGGGACAAUAAAUGCUUCUGCUUUUAAGCCACCG